This 468-nucleotide ribosomal RNA is filed under the name uncultured bacterium. RNAcentral describes it as "partial 16S ribosomal RNA". It matches the Rfam family "Bacterial small subunit ribosomal RNA", at positions 28 to 507 of the family's 1533-position model. The record is from RNAcentral.
GACGAACGCUGGCGGCGUGCUUAACACAUGCAAGUCGAACGGAAAGGCCCUGCUUUUGUGGGGUGCUCGAGUGGCGAACGGGUGAGUAACACGUGAGUAACCUGCCCUUGACUUUGGGAUAACUUCAGGAAACUGGGGCUAAUACCGGAUAGGAGCUCCUGCUGCAUGGUGGGGGUUGGAAAGUUUCGGCGGUUGGGGAUGGACUCGCGGCUUAUCAGCUUGUUGGUGGGGUAGUGGCUUACCAAGGCUUUGACGGGUGGCCGGCCUGAGAGGGUGACCGGCCACAUUGGGACUGAGAUACGGCCCAGACUCCUACGGGAGGCAGCAGUGGGGAAUAUUGCACAAUGGGCGGAAGCCUGAUGCAGCAACGCCGCGUGCGGGAUGACGGCCUUCGGGUUGUAAACCGCUUUCGCCUGUGACGAAGCGUGAGUGACGGUAAUGAGUAAAGAAGCACCGGCUAACUACGUG